CGACGCCGGGCUUCGGCCUGGUUAUUCAUAACCCUUUGUUGUCCGACUCUGUUGCCUCCGGGGCGACCCUGCCUUCGGGCGGGGGCUCCGGGUGGACACUUCAAACUCUUGCGUAACUUUGCAGUCUGAGUAAACUUAAUUAAUAAAUUAAAACUUUUAACAACGGAUCUCUUGGUUCUGGCAUCGAUGAAGAACGCAGCGAAAUGCGAUAAGUAAUGUGAAUUGCAGAAUUCAGUGAAUCAUCGAAUCUUUGAACGCACAUUGCGCCCCCUGGUAUUCCGGGGGGCAUGCCUGUUCGAGCGUCAUUUCACCACUCAAGCCUCGCUUGGUAUUGGGCAACGCGGUCCGCCGCGUGCCUCAAAUCGUCCGGCUGGGUCUUCUGUCCCCUAAGCGUUGUGGAAACUAUUCGCUAAAGGGUGUUCGGGAGGCUACGCCGUAAAACAACCCCAUUUCUAAGGUUGACCUCGGAUCAGGUAGGGAUACCCGCUGAACUUAAGCAUAUCAAUAAGCGGAGGGAAAAAGAAAUGUCCUAA
RNAcentral lists this ribosomal RNA (533 nucleotides) under Cladosporium macrocarpum. RNAcentral describes it as "eukaryotic LSU rRNA". The stretch from base 152 to 305 matches the Rfam family "5.8S ribosomal RNA". The record is from RNAcentral. Lineage: Eukaryota; Fungi; Ascomycota; Dothideomycetes; Cladosporiales; Cladosporiaceae.